Molecule: long non-coding RNA, 1182 nt
Organism: Musca domestica (house fly)
Lineage: Eukaryota; Metazoa; Arthropoda; Insecta; Diptera; Muscidae
Exons: 3
Source: RefSeq, a predicted model, not a curated record
UUGAAGGCUUUCUGAAUAAAGAGAAAAACCUAUGCAUAAGGGUACCGCCCAGUGAAAGGGACAAAUACUAGGGAUAAAACAAGGAUAACAAUAAGGGAUAGAUCAAUAUGUCGGUUAAUGGAAAGCUGCCAUUUUUUCUCUCUAAGCUUAUAAAUAUGUGUUAAAACCAGAGAACGGGGAUUUUAAGUAUUGGUGCUGAGUGAGAAACUUUAACUUCUCUGUGGGAAUAAAGUACAAAGUUUUUGCGAAAAUUAUAAAGUGAAUUUAAAUAUAAUAAAAGCGAUAUCUGCCGAAUAUUGAUUUGAUUAAAGUAAAGGUGACUAUCGCAGGGUGUUGUUAUAAAUAAAGUGGUCAAAGUCCAAUUUUAUCCUCAGACGCAUUAUUGAACCAGCAAUCAAGAAAGGCCACCAGAAACCUUGUUUGUUGGACGGAAGUGUCGUAGAGGAAAUAUAGCCACUAAAAUAGAUUACCCAAGUAGAAAGCCGAAAAAAGGUAGGACAUUAGUAUUGCCAAUUACCUUAGGGAGCAAAGCCCACUGCCAUCUAGUGGAAACACCCGAGCUGACAAAAACUUUGCAAAAGCUCAGUACCAGAACUUUACCAGAGAAUAUAUAACUUUGUGCCCGAGCGAAUUCACGUAUAACAGUUAUAAUUCGCCGAAGUACCUCUGCCACAGUCAGUCCCGUAUAAAAAGACUGGCAUUUGGUUAUGUGACGACCGAUUGAGAUCAAAAUAAUCAUAUCCAGUUAAAAUCGUCAAAGAAAAUAAUUUUCAUAAAGUAUAUUUAGUUUCUAAGUGUAUAACGUAUUGUAUGAUUUAUUUAUAUUUUGCUUUGCAUGUUUUAUUUUAUUUUUUUUUAUCCAAAUUGACUAUUUUUAUUUGAGUGUAAAUGAUAACGUUUCCUUUUUCCUGUUUGGAAAUACCUACAAUUCCCUCGUCUAGUUUACGUCGUAUUUGUUUCACAUUAGGAACCACAAUUGUGCAUCUGGUGAUAUAGUUGAUCCUAAGCCAUAGGUUGUCUAUAAUAGAGCUCUAUUAGGAAAUCUAGGUUAUUGGAGUUUAUUGAGCAUAGUCCACUGAUAAGGACGUAGUUUUGCAAAAUAUUGUGGGUUCUAAUAGACCAGUUGGUCAAUCGUUCUGUUUAUCAAGAUUUCUUUUAUUUGGUUCAAAGAACCUUUCGAAA